GACGAACGCUGGCGGCGUGCCUAAUACAUGCAAGUCGAACGAGAGCGACCGGUGCUUGCACUGGUCAAUCUAGUGGCGAACGGGUGAGUAACACGUGGGUAACCUGCCCAUCAGAGGGGGAUAACAUUCGGAAACGGAUGCUAAAACCGCAUAGGUUCUUGAGUCGCAUGACUCAGGAAGGAAAAGAGGCUUCGGCUUCUGCUGAUGGAUGGGCCCGCGGUGCAUUAGCUAGUUGGUGAGGUAACGGCUCACCAAGGCCGUGAUGCAUAGCCGACCUGAGAGGGUGAUCGGCCACAUUGGGACUGAGACACGGCCCAAACUCCUACGGGAGGCAGCAGUAGGGAAUCUUCCGCAAUGGACGCAAGUCUGACGGAGCAACGCCGCGUGAGUGAAGAAGGAUUUCGGUUCGUAAAACUCUGUUGUUAGAGAAGAACAGCGCAUAGAGUAACUGUUAUGCGUGUGACGGUAUCUAACCA
Molecule: ribosomal RNA, 476 nt
Filed under: Granulicatella elegans
Lineage: Bacteria; Bacillati; Bacillota; Bacilli; Lactobacillales; Carnobacteriaceae
Description: bacterial SSU rRNA
Rfam family: Bacterial small subunit ribosomal RNA
Source: RNAcentral